UACGAAGGGGGCGAGCGUUUGUUCGGAUUUACUGGGCGUAAAGGGCGCGUAGGCGGCGGGUCAAGUCGAGUGUGAAAGCCCCGGGCUCAACCUGGGAAUUGCGCUCGAGACUGGUCUGCUUGAGUUCGGGAGAGGAGCGUGGAAUUCCCAGUGUAGAGGUGAAAUUCGUAGAUAUUGGGAAGAACACCGGUGGCGAAGGCGGCGCUCUGGACCGAGACUGACGCUGAGGCGCGAAAGCGUGGGGAGCAAACAGG
This 254-nucleotide ribosomal RNA is filed under the name uncultured bacterium. RNAcentral's name for it is "partial 16S ribosomal RNA". It matches the Rfam family "Bacterial small subunit ribosomal RNA", at positions 524 to 776 of the family's 1533-position model. The record is from RNAcentral.